AGUAUGAAUGGUGGAGCUGCAGAGGACACGUCUGGUGCAGCAAUUAAGAAAAGUUGGUGAGAGGAGACGCACACAGAGAGAGGGGGGGAAAGAAAGAAAGAAAGAAAACGCGCACAUGGCUUUGCGGUGUGUUCAGGAAGAUCUGCAGAGCGAAAAGUCUCAAAGUGAAAGAAAAUGUGUCAGGGCACACAUUGGUGGAGACGCGCGCCUUGCCAAAUGUUGCCUGAGUUUAAAAAAGAAAAAGAAAAGCCGUGCACAGUUUGCGCCUGGCCGCCAGUGACGUGAGUUUUCAGUGAAGACACCCUGAUGAAGAGGAGGAUGAAGACUGACAAACUGGCUGAGGCGCAGGAUUGAGAAACUGCUUCACCACAGGACUAUCAGGCAGGUUUCCACCACAUUCACCCAUCCUGACAGCCGGUGGGGAAACCACCUAAGCGCAGCUCAUCCGUUAAAUUGUCGCUGAGUCAGUUUGGGGUCAUGACAUCAUCAUCAUGAGAUGGGAAGACUGGUGAGCGUUGACCACAGGCAGCAAAAGAAGAGGCGGGUCCUGUGUGUGUGUGUCGGGGUUUGCAGCUGCUGGUUCUUGGCAAAAAAAAAAAAAAUUGUGCUGUGGAGUUGCCUCAGGGAAUAAUUUGCUCAAAUGUUGAAAGGAAGAACAAAUUCAAGAGGUUUAAAGAGGCAGUAAGUAAGAUUUUUAUUGUCGCGCUGCACAAAUGACCAUAAAACACCUGCAGGAGGUUGAUGGUGCUGUUAAUCGUCCAGGUGUUGAGGUUUCUCUGGCUUUCCAAACCGUCCUUCUGGCUUGUGGGCUGUUUUUGAGCAAAAGCUCCACACCCAGUGAAGUCAUGCUGAUGCUGUUGAAACCACAGCUGGUGGUGACCAAACAUGUUAAAAUGACCGAAGAUCUGGAGUCUUAAGCUUCUUUAAAUUUACAGUAACACAAAUUUAUUUAUACAUCAUGCAGAGACGAGCUGAAAGAAAAACCUAUUAGUUGCUGGGGGCUUUCAUUUAUCUCUGUAUACCAUAGCACAUUUUAUUAAAUGUUUGAUUAUUAAUAUUAUUUGUUAUUUACAGACAUACAUAGGCCUCAUGAAAUGGAAAUCUGCUUCAGCAAUGUCAUCAUAAAAAUGAUAACGAAAAAAAUCCCCAUUACGAAAAACUUUCCAAAUAACGACUUUGUACCAAGUUGUUAUUGUGAAACAGUGAGGAAAUAGUACUCAUCUCCAAAUACUGAUAUAUUAUGUCAAAGUAUCACUAAAUAAUGACUGAAUGAAGUAUCUCAAACUAUUGAGUUAUCCUUGCUAAACAGUGCGAAAAUAAUACAUGAUUAAUCUGAGAAUACUGAGAAUCUUUUAAAGUGAGUUAGUGUCCCGUGAUAAUACAAGUUCUAUAGCUCUAUACGUUGUUUCCUCAUGUGCCAAAGCAACAGACUAUUUCAAGAAAGUUUCCUGUUUUAAAGUUUUUUUGUUUGUUUGUUUUGUUUUGUUUUGUUUUAAUUACAUUGAUAAAAACGGGCUUCCAUGAACAUGUAAAUAGACUAACAUUUAUUUAUUUAGUGAUUUAUUACAUUUUUCUGCUGGACUUGUGUGUUGAACUGUUUUUGAAUAAUAUUUUGAGUAAUUAUCACUAAUUGUGAUUACACACACUUACAGAAAAAGUACAUCAUGUAUGUCGAUAAGGACAGUUUGAAAGGUGCUAAAUAAAGACGAAAAUGAAUAAAGAAUAGAGGAUUAUUGCAUCUGCAACACUGUAGCGUACAGCAUUAGUGUUGUAAGCAUCUUUCAAGGUCUAAGUGCUCCGUCAAGUUGAAUAUUUUAAAGCUUAUUUGAAGCUCAUUUAAAUGCAAUUAGGAAUAACACUUUGAGAAAAAGAUUUGAUGUCCAGCCUCAAUGACUGAACAGAUUUGUUCUUCCUCCCUGUGUGUUGCUGUUAAUAUACCUCACUUGUAUUUUAAUAAACAUAACAAUAAAACUUAAUUGAAUAAAACAUUAACUUGUAUGUGAGUUCAGUCCAGCUUGUUUUGGUUUCAAGGUCAUGAAAUUCACUCAUAAGUCUAGUAAGAACAAGUGCAUAACCGCACUACUGCGUCCAUGAGAGAACACAGAUCAGUGAUCAGUUUGUCAUUUAAUUACAACAUACAGUAGUUUAGGGUUGCUAUGAGCCAUGAUUUUUAUUUCAGAUUAAUCUGCCCAAUCUUUUCUUUAUUAAACGUUUCAUCAGUCAAAUGUUUAUUCUUAUAUUGAGAGGAUUUGCAUCACAAAGCUCAACAUGACGUCAUCGGCUGAAAAAAAAACCUCAAAUAAACUCAGAUAGAAUUUACAUGAGAUGGAAAAGCAGCAAUUUAGAAGCUGGAAAAGCAAAUGACAAACUUUUGACACAAACACUAAUUUAAUCAGCUAAAAAUGUUGCAAAUUAUUUUUCUCACUCAGCUCGUUUCAGCUCAAACAUGCAUUGAAUUUAAUCCUCAUAUCUUCCUUGAUGCUCUCAAACAAGCAAAGCAUGUAACAUCUAAACCUGUUUUAACAGCCAUCAGAUUACUUGUAAAUGUAAACGUAAACAUAAACGUCAUAUUGCAUACAUGACUGCUUUUUUUUUUUCCGUAAAUACAGCAUAAAUCAGUUAGUAGUUACAGUUACAAGUUGCAGAAAAACCAACAAGUUAUUUUAUUUAUUUUAUUCAUUAUUAUUCAUUCUCCCCAAACUAAGACCGGACAUCAGGAUUUUGGGGACUACAACAUGGCUGCUCAUGUGUUUUGGCAGGUUUCCUCUUCAGAGCUGUAAACUGGGUCGAUUGGACUGAGUUCAGCAACAAGUGGAGCCAUAAAGACCAAAUCCAGCUGCGGUGGAAACAGAUGAUGCACUUUUAAAAAACAUAAUCUGAUUUGUUUUCAAAUAUUUAUGCAAGUCGAGGAAAUCUGUAUUCUCAGAAUCAGAUAUAUAAUUCAGCAGAGUUUCAGUACAAUCGCCUCGUCUUUAAAAAGCACGUAAGACACAUUUUAUUUGAGGAACGUUUCAUAGUUGAUCAAUAAACUGCUGAUCAUUAAACUUCUGGCUGAAGUGUCGCUGUUGAGUCACACUCUGCCAGAAGUGUUUUAAAACUAUUAACAGGUCAUCUUUUAUGGGUUGAGCGAGUUCCGUGACCUCGGGGCUGUAAACCCACAUUGUUAAAUUUCAAAUUGUGGUUAUCAGUGAGAACAUGCAUCAUUCCAGGAAGAUUUACUUUUUCCCGAACACAUUCGGCCCCUCAGAGGAAUGUUUUUUGUUUUUUGUUUGUUUUUUUUUGUUUGUUUGUCCUUGGAUGAACUGAAUUUUCUGUUUUCAGCCUCAAAGUGACGGCCACAUCAGAGAGAUACAGCUGUUUGUGUAGAAGUCUGAAAUUUGUUUAUCAAUGCUCCGUCUGCACGCACAGCUAAUGGUUUCAGCUGAGGGGGGAGAACGGGCAUGAAAUACCACAUUUUGUCCUUGGCUGGUCACUGAGAGCAUGUCCACACUGAUGCCCGUUUAUAAAUAACUUUUAGAUUUUCUCCCUUAUCCUCUCAAUCAAAAUAAAGCCUCAUUUUCAAGCACUGGAAACUAAACGUGUCCAAAAUCCUGAACUAUGAUUACACAUUUUAUAGCCACGUGUUACGUAUAAGAGACAACACAAAUCACACUGAAAAACCUGUCAUUAAACUUCAUUGCAGGUGAAGUGGACAGUGUGAGGGAGUCAUUUUCCUGAUUUUGUCGGCCUUUGGUCUUCUCCUACACACCUGUCGAUCUUGAGGUGUGCAAAACCUGUACUCUCUGAUUUGAACUAAAAAAUGAAAGUAAGUAAGAUAUUUUCUUCUGUAAUGUAGUGGAGCAGAAGUAUAAAGUAGCAUGAAAUCAAAACGCUCUUGUAUAACCAUGGCAAAAAUACCAACAAAAUUAAAAAUUCAGAUUUGUCACAGAAUAAACAAUCAAGUGAAACACUAAAAUAUUCCAGUAUCCCUAACUAACUAUAUUAAGUGUGUAUAAGACACCUGAGGGGCUCCGUACAGUUACAACUGAGGUACACGGAGCAGGUGAAGCGAGUUUGUGACCUCUUAUGCUGGAGCUUGUUUGUGUUUUUUGUUUUAUUUUAAGAUAUCGCGUUAUCAGAAAAUCUCACAGCAGCUGCCUAAAAAAAAAGAAAAAAAAUGCAGAAAGAAGAUGUCACGAAUGAGAGAAAAAAAAGGCUGAGUGUGUGUGUGUGUGUGUGUGUGUGUGUGUGUGUGUGUGUGUGUGUGUGUGUGUGUGUGUGUGUGUGUGUGCGUGUGAAAGAGAGCGUGUGAACUAGGAAGAGAGGGACAAAGAUCGAACAGGAAGGAGCGUGUGUGAAAGAGCUCUGACAGAGUGAGUCAGGGAGAGAGAGAGAGAGAGA
Acanthopagrus latus (yellowfin seabream) is the source of this 4380-nucleotide long non-coding RNA. RefSeq lists it as uncharacterized. The transcript has 4 exons. The record is from RefSeq and is a predicted model, not a curated record. Lineage: Eukaryota; Metazoa; Chordata; Actinopteri; Spariformes; Sparidae.